This is a long non-coding RNA of Daucus carota subsp. sativus, 2090 nucleotides long. RefSeq lists it as uncharacterized. Lineage: Eukaryota; Viridiplantae; Streptophyta; Magnoliopsida; Apiales; Apiaceae. The transcript has 4 exons. The record is from RefSeq and is a predicted model, not a curated record.
CAUCUUCUCAGACGGAACAAAUAUAGAAUCCGUUCUCAGGUUAAAAUCUGAUCAUAGCCAGUAAAUCAGGCAACGAGAAGGAGCCAUAAACAGUCGAAGUUUCAAAAUUAGGAAGGGGAAUCGGAGAGUGGAGCCUUCGACGAUAACACGGGUGUUUCUGAGGCAGCGAGAGUGGAGCCCAUAAACAAUUGAAAUUCCAAAGAUAGGAGGGGAAUCGGAGAGUUGAGCCUUCGACGAUGACAUAGGUGUUUCUGAGUUGUACCAGUGGUUUGCCAUAGGUAGGACAAUUGACAGGAAACUGUGUUGGUCGCUCGUGUUCAAUGGACGGGCACUUCGAAAAAUGGUUCAUAGGUCAUGGAGAGGGUAUUUGAAUUUGAUUGUGGAAAGGAGGAUUAAGAAGUGGAAGGGGUGGAAUAGAAAUAUUGUAGGCUCAUGUUUAGCUGGGACAGAGGAAGAGCCAAAAAGGUAUAUUUGACAGAUAGGUGUUAAGGUAAUUUUAUACAGUUUUUAUCAAUAAUGUUUUUAAAUACAUGCAAUUCAUUGUUUAGCAUGUUGUGAUUGGUUUUCUAUAUUGCUCUUGAGCAUGAAUUCUGAUCUUUGAUUAACUAUUAGGUUCUUUAAAAGUUAGGAUCUUGCAGUGGUAGGACCAACUAUUUCCAGCUCUCUGUCAUUGGCAGAAUUUUAUUUGUUAAUUCAAGACCGAAAAAUAUAUAGAUUAUAAUAGUUUGAAUUUUUCUAAACGAGAUUAUUACAUGAUUAUACAAUAAUGCAGUAUAUGAUUAGUAUAUAGAACUCUCUUUUUAUCCAAUAAUGAACAAGUUCCUUUAUUUUAUGUAAAAUUGGUUAUAAAUCGCUUUCCAUAAGAUGAUAUAGAUGAUAAUCAAUAUAAAAUUCAAACCUUAUUUUACAUUAUACAAAUUCUUCAAAAAUAAUUAGGUUCUUCAUAAUCUAACGACACCAGUCUACCAGAUAUAUCAGAUAUAUUUGACGAGGAAAGCUAGAUGUUAGAUUAUAUCACCCGCUCUUGUCAUUUCUGUUUGACAAUAUGUGUAGUUUGUAUGAGUUUCAUCUAUGAUGCAUGGUAGAAUGUCCUUUUCAGUGGUUUAGAGUCAUACAAGAAUAUUUUGGUCAUUUUACCAAAGUUAAGAAUAAAGGUGCAAUAAAAAAUCUUCACUGCAACACUUUCAGGGAGCGGGUACAUCAUCAAUUAAGCAUCAUGUAACAUAUGUAAAUAUAAAAAUUAUAACUUUUACAUGUCUAAAUCUCAAGCAAGUUUACUUUCAUCAUCAGGGGACCAUACUGUAUAUAUGCCUACGUAAAGAAAAAAGGUGCCAAAAAAAAGUGUAUGAUAUUAUCAAAAUGCCCAUGUAUAACUCCAUUAGAUCCUGUAUUACACAAGCUACAACCUAAACUAAAAUCAGACGACAUCAGAGUGAAAUCAUAAACUUCUUGCAUGCUAAACUGAAAUCAGACAGCAUUUAAGUGAAAUCAUCAAAUCCAAUUUAGCCAGGUAUACUAAUUCUAUUUGCUUUGAUUAUUGAUCCACUUAUAUGUUAAUUGUCAUUGUAUUUAGUUUUUGGAUCUGAUCUUUUGAUAGAGCUUAAUUGGAGUUUAUGUCCUUUUUUUGUAAUUGCUAAUGGUUGGAUGAUUCAUUUGACAUGUGAGUGCUUUUGAUUAAUAAGAUAUUGCUUUUCUAAUGAAUAAAGAAUUUGAAAUUCUAGAUUUGUAGACUUUUUUUAUGCAGGAGGCCUUGAAGGUAGAUAGUUGCAGAUGGUUUGUUGAGUGUAAUACCCAUCCUCAGUAGAAUUGUAAAGAGUACUUCUGCGGAGUUAUUGAUUGAUACUUUAUGUGCUGCAAGAAAAGUUGUCGACAUUAACUUCAAAUUUCUUUUACAAUAAUUUUAUGGGAGGCAUUGGUGUAAUGUAUAGUCAAUUUUCACAUUGCAAAAGUAUUUAUUAAAAAAUUAAAAAAAAUUAUGAAUAUUAGUUGUGAUGUUAUAUAUCCGAUCUUUGUUAUUUCGCUAAUCUUGAUGUAUUUUUUGUCUAGCUGAAUAAUACUCUAGAAGACUUGAGGUGAACACCUUUUACAUG